CCGAGUUCAUGCCCUUCGGGGUAGACCUCCCACCCUAUGUUAUCAUUACCUUUGUUGCUUUGGCGGGCCGCUGGGCCCCGGCCCGGCUACCGGCCCUCGCUGGUAAGCGCCCGCCAGAGGACCCCAAACUCUGAAUGUUAGUGUCGUCUGAGUACUAUAUAAUAGUUA
Molecule: unclassified non-coding RNA, 168 nt
Filed under: uncultured Cadophora
Lineage: Eukaryota; Fungi; Ascomycota; Leotiomycetes; Helotiales
Description: sequence contains ITS1
Source: RNAcentral